UGGGGAAUAUUGGACAAUGGGGGCAACCCUGAUCCAGCAAUGCCGCGUGUGUGAAGAAGGCCUUCGGGUUGUAAAGCACUUUCGGUGGGGACAAACAAGGCGGAGCUAACAUCUCCGUCCCUGAUGGUACCCAAAGAAGAAGCACCGGCUAACUCUGUGCCAGCAGCCGCGGUAAUACAGAGGGUGCAAGCGUUAAUCGGAAUUACUGGGCGUAAAGGGUGCGUAGGUGGUUUGUUAAGUCAGGCGUGAAAUCCUCGGGCUCAACCUGGGAACUGCGCUUGAUACUGACAGACUCGAGUGUGGUAGAGGAUAGUGGAAUUCCCGGCGUAGCGGUGAAAUGCGUAGAUAUCGGGAGGAACAUCAGUGGCGAAGGCGGCUAUCUGGACUAACACUGACACUGAGGCACGAAAGCGUGGGUAGCAAACAGGAUUAGAUACCCUGGUAGUCCACGCCCUAAACGAUGGGUACUAGACGUCGGGAAGCUUGUCUUCUUGGUGUCGCAGCUAACGCAAUAAGUACCCCGCCUGGGGAGUACGGUCGCAAGAUUA
This 548-nucleotide ribosomal RNA is filed under the name uncultured bacterium. RNAcentral's name for it is "bacterial SSU rRNA". It matches the Rfam family "Bacterial small subunit ribosomal RNA", at positions 355 to 896 of the family's 1533-position model. The record is from RNAcentral.